UGGGAGUUCAGAAUAACAUACAGGUCAUUGUCUUGUAAUUGGAAUGAUGGUGACGUAAAAUCUCACCAGAGUAACAAUUGGAGGGCAAGUCUGGUGCCAGCAGCCGCGGUAAUUCCAGCUCCAAUAGCGUAUAUUAAACUUGUUGCAGUUAAAAAGCUCGUAGUUGAAUUUCUGCGUUGCCCGACUCGGCUACUUGCCUUGUCUGGUUUCGCUUUUGGGGUUUUCCCCUUUUUACUUUGAGAAAAUUAGAGUGUUUCAAGCAGACUUGUGUCUUGAAUACUUCAGCAUGGAAUAAUAAAGUAGGACUUUGGUUCUAUUUUGUUGGUUUGUGAACCUUAGUAAUGGUUAAUAGGAACGGUUGGGGGCAUUCGUAUUUAAA
This 379-nucleotide ribosomal RNA is filed under the name Babesia gibsoni. RNAcentral describes it as "SSU rRNA". It matches the Rfam family "Eukaryotic small subunit ribosomal RNA", at positions 462 to 902 of the family's 1831-position model. Lineage: Eukaryota; Apicomplexa; Aconoidasida; Piroplasmida; Babesiidae. The record is from RNAcentral.